GUGAGGUACGAAUGAAAUUUUAACUUAUCUCUCAAAGAAACAAAACUAGUGGAGAAAUUAAUUAAUUUGGUGGAGCUCGGAUAAAACAAAUUACAAAUUUUAUGGAACCGUCAUUCGCCUUGUUGUUCAAUGUUUUGAUAGAGCUCUUUAAUUGUAAUGCACUUGAGUAGUCUGUAGAGUGAUGCCGUAACAUUGCAAAUUCCAAAGUGGAAAUUGAAAUAUUGGCCUUCUAAAUAUUCUUUUCCUAAUGGCUUAAUCGAAAUUUUAAUUAAAAAUUUAAUAUUUGUAGUUCCGUAUUUAAUCUUGUACGUGUUCUUCUUUCCUUUUCUUUAUUUCUAUCUAAUAACAUAACCCAGAAGAUAAAUCUCCACCGCCUCCGUUGCUCCCACCACCACCAUCAACAAUCCAUUAUUGGUUUACAAAUUCCACCAUCAUCGUCGAAGUCGCCGCCUCCAGAUUAUGAACAAACAGAUUGAGAAGUAUGAUUAAUUAUCUUCUUUUCCUUUUUCUUUUCUGGAUUUGUUCUUUCGAUCUAUUCACUUACAGAUCCAAAUUCUCAUUCAUUUUCUCAAUUGGUUGAUGGAGAUAAAAGAGAUUGCAUCGUUUAGCUUCGUUCCCUUUUUUAUUAAGUUUCUGCUGGUGCCGGAUGGCGGUGGUGUAAAUAGUUUUUCUUCUCGCUAUGAAACAAUAAGGGUAUACAAAUAUUGGUGGGUAUGGUGAUUUCCGCUCGAUUUAUACUGGUAAGCAUUAGCUAGCUGCGUAUCAUGCCUAUUUGAUGCCCUAUUAAUUUCUGCUUAUCAAUUUGAAAUUCAAAAGAUUUUCUAUGGAAGACAAAUUUCUGCUCCGUCAGUUUUUGCGGUUGUUGAUGAUGAUAGAUGUGGUGGUCGUUUGAUUGAACCUUCUCUUAUUGGAUUAGUAGCGCCUUAAAUUGCAGUGAACUUCUGCAUUUCUACCUGUGAGCUAACCCUUUCCGGAGAUUUUUUUUUUUUUGUAAUCAUUGUUGGAAACUGCAAUGCUGACUUAAUGGUGAUUAACCUCAGUAUUAUUGCCAACAUGUAUCAUUGAACGCGAUGGUGUCUUCAGCUUAUGCAGGGGUUUUCUGCCAAUUUAUUAUAUGAAAAUGGGUACAAUGUUGAAGUUUUUCGCCUUUCAAACGCUUGAUUCUUUUUAAAUUGAAAUGUAUGGGGCAAUCGACUAUCUUGGUUAUCCUUUCGAACAUUAUAAUUUUAUCAAACUUUUAAAUUGCGUGUUCUGCAAGCUGUUGGAGGAAGAAUUGUUGUUCUUAUUGAUGGGCAAUUCGACGUGGAACUGGUGUAUUCAAAGCUUUAGCUCUUGGAGGUCAGGGUUCUUGUAAGUAAAUCACCAUCUCACCAUCUUACAAUGGUUUCUAAGAAGUACUUUGUUUUCGUAUGAAAUGUUAAUGAACACACCCAAGCUCAGAAACACGUGGGAGCAUGUUUUUGGUGUUAGCACACAUUUUUGCAUUUUCCACUGAUACAUUCCUUCUAUAUAUUACAUUUCUUCUUUAUAUCAAAUUUAGUUGGUUGUUUCUA
Papaver somniferum (opium poppy) is the source of this 1553-nucleotide long non-coding RNA. RefSeq lists it as uncharacterized. Lineage: Eukaryota; Viridiplantae; Streptophyta; Magnoliopsida; Ranunculales; Papaveraceae. The record is from RefSeq and is a predicted model, not a curated record. The transcript has 2 exons.